GGCCCCUUAGCUCAGUUGGUUAGUAGCGUCCGACUCAUAAUCGGCAGGUCUCCAGUUCAAGUCUGGAAGGGGCCACCA
This 78-nucleotide transfer RNA is filed under the name Photobacterium kishitanii. Its description in RNAcentral is "tRNA-Met". It matches the Rfam family "tRNA". Rfam says of the family: Transfer RNA (tRNA) molecules are approximately 80 nucleotides in length. Their secondary structure includes four short double-helical elements and three loops (D, anti-codon, and T loops). Further hydrogen bonds mediate the characteristic L-shaped molecular structure. tRNAs have two regions of fundamental functional importance: the anti-codon, which is responsible for specific mRNA codon recognition, and the 3' end, to which the tRNAs corresponding amino acid is attached (by aminoacyl-tRNA synthetases). tRNAs cope with the degeneracy of the genetic code in two manners: having more than one tRNA (with a specific anti-codon) for a particular amino acid; and 'wobble' base-pairing, i.e. permitting non-standard base-pairing at the 3rd anti-codon position. Lineage: Bacteria; Pseudomonadati; Pseudomonadota; Gammaproteobacteria; Vibrionales; Vibrionaceae. The record is from RNAcentral.